Gasterosteus aculeatus aculeatus (three-spined stickleback) is the source of this 1297-nucleotide non-coding RNA. The record is from RefSeq and is a predicted model, not a curated record. Lineage: Eukaryota; Metazoa; Chordata; Actinopteri; Perciformes; Gasterosteidae.
UCACGCUGCUUCAACAUUGAAAAUAUAAGUAAGAAUUCUGCUCUUUUUCGGCUCUGCUUUGGUCUCCACCGAGCUUGUGGAGCACAUUAAGUACCAAGACCACGACCUCUGUGAUGAAUGGAUGAAAAUAUUGACUAAAGCCGCUUUAAAGUUACGUCUUGCUGCCAUCAUGUGAAGGUAUGAAACGUUAUCCUCGCCUCGCCCGGCUCAAGCCACUCCCCAUUGAGGCGGGAGGCAACGUUUCCGAUUUUCUCGGCCACUCUGCAUUUUUUAAACUUCUUGUAUCUUUACGACUGAGAGAGUCGUUGUUUCCUGCUUGGAUCCAGAACACAGACGACGCGAUGUUUGGAAUCCAGCGUUUUACUACUUCUAUCUCACGCUGCCCUUUACUCCUGAGAAACUUGAUUACGCUGAUCGCUAUCGUGACUGUUGGCCGGGAUUUUCUUUAUUGCAUCACUAUUUAUGAGUCAGUGUUCUUAUUGUUUCAGGGCGACACACCUCGAAAGUCUUGCCCGGCGACGUCAACGAAGAAAAAUACAACGUCUGCAAAUCUUGACUCGCUGAAUAAUGAUUUUGUUAUUCUCAAAUCAGAAGAUCCGAUAUUACAGAUACAUCUCAAUUUGAAGCCGGCACGACUGCAUGUUCAUCUUUUGACCCAGAAAUGAGGCUUGCCAAUCUUUGCAGUCAAGGAACCGCCCGUGCAGGCUUUCCUGCAUUGCAGCUCCGAGCCAAAACCUGGAUGUUUGAAGGGUUUUUUUCAGCUUUUAUCACAAGAAAACAAAAAGCAGAGAGGUGCGAUUCGUUGCCACGUGUACUUUGAUCCCUGUGUUAAAAACAAUGUACUGGAGAUGAUUCCCUAUUCGGGUAAAUAUCCGACAAACAAUGCCAGAGAGAAGCCAUUCUUCUGUCCAAAUAGAGGGGAAAUCCACACAAUUAUACACACUAAUACCCACAGGCAUAUCGGUUAUUGAGCUCCACUAACGCACAACACAAAUAAUUAAAACAAUGAGCCAAAUUGGAUAUCACUCUGCUUUAUAAUGCAGCUAAUUGAACAAAUUAACAAAUGAGCAAAAACACGGCACAAUACUGUGAACCGAGUUCAUUUCCAUUAAAUGAUAAAACAUUCCAGCCAAUUCAGUUCUUCUUCUUUUUUUUUGCGUAUUCAUAAAUUCCGGGCGCGUGAACCUCAACCUUUGUUAACAUGAAUAUAUUGUGAGGCAUUUGCAUAAUCCACUUCAUAAUCCACUGCAGCACUCGGCGGUAACAAAGAUAAGGAGGGGUAGCCACUGUUCCUCCU